This 644-nucleotide long non-coding RNA is filed under the name Brassica rapa (field mustard). Its description in RNAcentral is "long non-coding RNA (BRAP_LNC002409)". The record is from RNAcentral. Lineage: Eukaryota; Viridiplantae; Streptophyta; Magnoliopsida; Brassicales; Brassicaceae.
AAUAUCUAACCAAUCUUUAGCACCAUUUUAGAUUUACUGAUUGCAGAUAGCACUAAAGAUGCUAAAGCAGAUCAACCUAUCAACUACACACUUGCCUUGAACCGUAUGAAGUAACCAAAGCUGAUUUCCAACACUAAACCUGACAUAACCGCUUGUCUUGGGGAUUGGUAUACAUGGGAUCGGAUUCUUCAGACAGGUCUGGAAGGUAACGCCUGGUGUAGAUUAUUUAUCACAUUUUCUCUCUCUAAAUUUCAACCCUAGAUUAGUUAGUGAGUAUUAUUAAAAAAAAAAUAAUAAUAAUAAUAAAAAAUAAAUAAAAUCUAUUGUUUAAUUAGGAUGAGUCUGAACAGGACUUGGUGGCUAAAACCAUUAAGGCUUGAUUCAUAAAGACUCCAUUAAAAGAGUUCGAAACGGGACUUCGAGGCGGCAAACUUCAAGGCUCGCUUUCGCAAAGAACUCUUGGAUAUAGGUUAACAAGAAGUGAACAGAACUUGGUGGCAACCACCAUUAAGUUUUGAUUAAUGGAAGUCUGUCCAAUCUAGGUCACUGAUCCUGCAAUGGAAGCAGACUUUGAGUCAAGAGAGAAAAUUAGAGAGAGAGAAAAUAGGAACUAACUUUUACAUGCAGCUCCAGAUACAUGUCUG